GAUGAACGCUGGCGGCGUGCAUAACACAUUCAAGUCGAACGGAGCUUAUUGGAUUAAUCCUUCGGGAAGCGUUUAGUAAGCUUAGUGGCGGACGGGUGAGUAACGCGUGAGCAACCUGCCUUUGAUUGGGGGAUAACACAGGGAAACUUGUGCUAAUACCGCAUAAAGUAUACGUUUCGCAUGUGAUGUAUACCAAAGAUUUAUGAUCAAAGAUGGGCUCGCGUCCGAUUAGAUAGUUGGUGGGUAACGGCUACCAAGUCAACGAUCGGUAGCCGGACUGAGAGGUUGAACGGCCACAUUGGGACUGAGACACGGCCCAGACUCCUACGGGAGGCAGCAGUGGGGGAUAUUGCACAAUGGGGGAAACCCUGAUGCAGCAACGCCGCGUUGAAGGAAGAAGGUCUUCGGAUUGUAAACUUCUUUUUACCAGGGACGAACAUAAUGACGGUACCUGGAGAAAAAGCAAACGGCUAACUACGUGCCAGCAGCCNCGGU
This 495-nucleotide ribosomal RNA is filed under the name uncultured bacterium. RNAcentral describes it as "bacterial SSU rRNA". It matches the Rfam family "Bacterial small subunit ribosomal RNA", at positions 28 to 521 of the family's 1533-position model. The record is from RNAcentral.